CUCCUCCUCCUCCUCUUCUGUCUUACCCCUCCAUGUGGUUCCUGUGGCUAGUGCGCCCUCUGCUGGUGUCCAGUCCGUACGCCGUGUGCACUGUGCUGCUGGUGCUGAUCUACAGGGGGCAGCGUCGCACAGGAAGUCCACACCCUGUUUCCAUGGAGACGGGCCAGCAGGAGGAGGAGUAUGAUGACAUCGCCGCUGAGGUCACCACCGAGCACAGCUUCUGAGCCAAUCACAGCUCUGCUUUCAUCUUUAAAUGAGUCUGACAUUUCAGUUAGAACUUAAGAAAUAUAUGUAUGAAAUAUAGUGUUAAGAUUCA
Long non-coding RNA from Periophthalmus magnuspinnatus, 316 nucleotides. RefSeq lists it as uncharacterized. The record is from RefSeq and is a predicted model, not a curated record. Lineage: Eukaryota; Metazoa; Chordata; Actinopteri; Gobiiformes; Gobiidae. The transcript is spliced from 2 exons.